This 480-nucleotide ribosomal RNA is filed under the name uncultured bacterium. RNAcentral describes it as "bacterial SSU rRNA". It matches the Rfam family "Bacterial small subunit ribosomal RNA", at positions 28 to 520 of the family's 1533-position model. The record is from RNAcentral.
GACGAACGCUAGCGGCGGGCUUAAUACAUGCAAGUUUAGGGGUUCAGCAAUGGACACCGGCGGACGGGUGCGUAACACGUAUGCAACCUGCCCUUUACUGGAGGAUACUCCGGAGAAAUUCGGCACAACACUCCAUAUACUCAUACUUUCGCAUGGGAGAAUGAGGAAAGGUUACGGUAAAGGAUGGGCAUGCGUCUGAUUAGCUAGUUGGCGAGGUAACGGCUCACCAAGGCGACGAUCAGUAGCUGGUCUGAGAGGAUGAUCAGCCACACUGGCACUGAGAUACGGGCCAGACUCCUACGGGAGGCAGCAGUAGGGAAUAUUGGUCAAUGGGCGAAAGCCUGAACCAGCCACGCCGCGUGCAGGAAGAAGGUCCUCUGGAUUGUAAACUGCUUUUGCCAAGGGAUAAAGAGAGGCUAUACGCCUAAAUGAAGGUACUUGGUGAAUAAGCCACGGCUAACUACGUGCCAGCAGCCGCGG